CCUACGGGGGGCAGCAGUGAGGAAUAUUGGUCAAUGGACGCAAGUCUGAACCAGCCAUGCCGCGUGCAGGAAGACGGCUCUGUGAGUUGUAAACUGCUUUUGUACGAGGGUAAACGCAGAUACGUGUCUCUGUCUGAAAGUAUCGUACGAAAAAGGAUCGGCUAACUCCGUGCCAGCAGCCGCGGUAAUACGGAGGAUUCGAGCGUUAUCCGGAUUUAUUGGGUUUAAAGGGUGCGUCGGCGGUCGGAUAAGUUAGAGGUGAAAUCCCGGGGCUCAACUCCGGAAUUGCCUUUGAUACUGGUCGGCUAGAGAGUAGUUGAGGUAUGCGGAAUGUGUGGUGUAGCGGUGAAAUGCUUAGAGAUCAUGCAGAACACCGAUUGCGAAGGCAGCUUACCAGGCUACUUCUGACGUUGAGGCACGAAAGCGUGGGGAGCGAACAGGAUUAGAUACCCCUGUAGUC
Molecule: ribosomal RNA, 460 nt
Filed under: uncultured bacterium
Lineage: Bacteria
Description: partial 16S ribosomal RNA
Rfam family: Bacterial small subunit ribosomal RNA
Source: RNAcentral